AAGAUUUUAAGUUAAAAUUAAACUAUUAACCUUCAAAGUUAAUUAUAAUAAAUUAUUUAUUAAAUCUUA
RNAcentral lists this transfer RNA (69 nucleotides) under Trachelus tabidus. Its description in RNAcentral is "tRNA-Trp". Lineage: Eukaryota; Metazoa; Arthropoda; Insecta; Hymenoptera; Cephidae. The record is from RNAcentral.